This 253-nucleotide ribosomal RNA is filed under the name uncultured bacterium. RNAcentral's name for it is "partial 16S ribosomal RNA". It matches the Rfam family "Bacterial small subunit ribosomal RNA", at positions 524 to 776 of the family's 1533-position model. The record is from RNAcentral.
UACGGAGGAUGCAAGCGUUAUCCGGAAUGAUUGGGCGUAAAGCGUCCGCAGGUGGCUGUGUAAGUCUGCUGUUAAAGAGUCUGGCUCAACCAGAUAAAGGCAGUGGAAACUACACGGCUAGAGUGCGUUCGGGGCAGAGGGAAUUCCUGGUGUAGCGGUGAAAUGCGUAGAGAUCAGGAAGAACACCGGUGGCGAAAGCGCUCUGCUAGGCCGCAACUGACACUGAGGGACGAAAGCUAGGGGAGCGAAUGGG